GUUGAGGGGAAUGUUGUCUGGUUCGAGACCAUUCAUGUGAAAGAAGAUAAAAUCAGCAUCAGAUGGGUGAUUUCGGACCAGGCUUCAUUCCCCCCAAC
This 98-nucleotide microRNA precursor is filed under the name Nelumbo nucifera (sacred lotus). RNAcentral's name for it is "mir-166 microRNA precursor family". It matches the Rfam family "mir-166 microRNA precursor family". Rfam says of the family: This family represents the plant microRNA (miRNA) precursor mir-166. Lineage: Eukaryota; Viridiplantae; Streptophyta; Magnoliopsida; Proteales; Nelumbonaceae. The record is from Rfam by way of RNAcentral.